GGGCCGUUAGCUCAGUUGGAUAGAGCACUCGCCUUCUAAGUGAGAGCGCGCGAGUUCGAGCCUCGCACGGCCCG
Molecule: transfer RNA, 74 nt
Filed under: Chloroflexota bacterium
Lineage: Bacteria; Bacillati; Chloroflexota
Also listed under: 1 other name
Description: Chloroflexi bacterium tRNA-Arg
Rfam family: tRNA
About the family: Transfer RNA (tRNA) molecules are approximately 80 nucleotides in length.
Source: RNAcentral